This 944-nucleotide ribosomal RNA is filed under the name Cytobacillus kochii. RNAcentral's name for it is "bacterial SSU rRNA". It matches the Rfam family "Bacterial small subunit ribosomal RNA", at positions 50 to 985 of the family's 1533-position model. Lineage: Bacteria; Bacillati; Bacillota; Bacilli; Caryophanales; Bacillaceae. The record is from RNAcentral.
AGGGUUCGGAAGCGGAACAGAAAAGAGAGCUUGCUCCUUUGACGUUAGCGGCGGACGGGUGAGUAACACGUGGGUAACCUACCUAUAAGACGGGAAUAACUCCGGGAAACCGGGGCUAAUGCCGGAUAACUUUUAGAACCGCAGGGUUCUAAAGUGAAAGAUGGUUUUGCUAUCACUUAUAAAUGGACCCGCGCCGUAUUAGCUAGUUGGUAAGGUAAGGGCUUACCAAGGCAACGAUACGUACCCAACCUGAGAGGGUGAUCGGCCACACUGGAACUGAGACACGGUCCAAACUCCUACGGGAGGCAGCAGUAGGGAAUCUUCCGCAAUGGGCAAAAGCCUGACGGACCAACGCCGCGUGAGUGAUGAAGGGUUUCGGCUCGUAAAACUCUGUUAUUAGGGAAAAACAAACGUGUAAGUAACUGUGCACUUCUUGACGGUACCUAAUCAGAAAGCCACGGCUAACUACGUGCCAGCAGCCGCGGUAAUACGUAGGUGGCAAGCGUUAUCCGGAAUUAUUGGGCGUAAAGCGCGCGUAGGCGGUUUCUUAAGUCUGAUGUGAAAGCCCACGGCUCAACCGUGGAGGGUCAUUGGAAACUGGGAGACUUGAGUGCAAAAGAGGAAAGUGGAAUUCCAUGUGUAGCGGUGAAAUGCGCAGAGAUAUGGAGGAACACCAGUGGCGAACGCGACUUUCUGGUCUGUAACUGACGCUGAUGUGCGAAAGCGUGGGGAUCAAACAGGAUUAGAUACCCUGGUAGUCCACGCCGUAAACGAUGAGUGCUAAGUGUUAGGGGGUUUCCGCCCCUUAGUGCUGCAGCUAACGCAUUAAGCACUCCGCCUGGGGAGUACGACCGCAAUGUUGAUACUCAAAGGAUUGACGGGGACCCGCACAGCGGUGGAGCAUGUGUUUAUUCGAAGCAACGCGAAGACCUUACCAAUCUGAC